GACGUAGGGCGCGAGCGUUGUCCGGAAUUAUUGGGCGUAAAGAGCUCGUAGGCGGCUUGUUGCGUCGACUGUGAAAGCCCGUGGCUUAACCGCGUGGUCUGCAGUCGAUACGGGCAGGCUAGAGUUCGGUAGGGGAGACUGGAAUUCCUGGUGUAGCGGUGAAAUGCGCAGAUAUCAGGAGGAACACCGGUGGCGAAGGCGGGUCUCUGGGCCGAUACUGACGCUGAGGAGCGAAAGCGUGGGGAGCAAACAGG
This 254-nucleotide ribosomal RNA is filed under the name uncultured bacterium. RNAcentral's name for it is "partial 16S ribosomal RNA". It matches the Rfam family "Bacterial small subunit ribosomal RNA", at positions 524 to 776 of the family's 1533-position model. The record is from RNAcentral.